GGACAACCUACCCUUAGGCCUGGGAUAACCCCGGGAAACUGGGAAUAAUACCGGAUAUAUCGCGAAUGCUGGAAUGCGUCGCGAUAGAAAGCUCCGACGCCUAAGGAUGGGUCUGCGGCCUAUCAGGGUAGUAGUGGGUGUAAUGUACCUACUAGCCUACGACGGGUACGGGUUGCGAGAGCAAGAGCCCGGAGAUGGAUUCUGAGACACGAAUCCAGGCCCUACGGGGUGCAGCAGGCGCGAAAACUUUACAAUGCUGGCAACAGCGAUAAGGGGACCUCGAGUGCCAGGAUACAAUCCUGGCUGUCGUAAUGCCUAAAAAGCAUUGCAUAGCAAGGGCCGGGCAAGACCGGUGCCAGCCGCCGCGGUAACACCGGCGGCUCGAGUGGUAACCGCUAUUAUUGGGUCUAAAGGGUCUGUAGCCGGCUGAAUUAGUCUCUUGGGAAAUCUGGCAGCUUAACUGUCAGGCUUUCAGGAGAUACUGUUCGGCUCGAGACCGGGAGAGGUGAGAGGUACCUCAGGGGUAGGGGUGAAAUCUUGUAAUCCUUGAGGGACCACCAGUGGCGAAGGCGUCUCACCAGAACGGAUCUGACGGCAAGGGACGAAAGCUAGGGGCACGAACCGGAUUAGAUACCCGGGUAGUCCUAGCCGUAAACGAUACUCGCUAGGUGUCGGCCACGGUGCGACCGUGGUCGGUGCCGUAGGGAAGCCGUGAAGCGAGCCACCUGGGAAGUACGGCCGCAAGGCUGAAACU
RNAcentral lists this ribosomal RNA (754 nucleotides) under uncultured archaeon. Its description in RNAcentral is "bacterial SSU rRNA". It matches the Rfam family "Archaeal small subunit ribosomal RNA", at positions 102 to 856 of the family's 1478-position model. The record is from RNAcentral.